This 653-nucleotide unclassified non-coding RNA is filed under the name Hevea brasiliensis (rubber tree). The record is from RNAcentral. Lineage: Eukaryota; Viridiplantae; Streptophyta; Magnoliopsida; Malpighiales; Euphorbiaceae.
UAAAAUUCAAAGGCAUUAGAAUUCAAGGACAAGGGAGGCAGGAGAAUCAAAUGGGGGGACAUUGAUUACCAUUGAAACCAAUCUAAAUCCCCAAACCCUCAUGAGAAACAUUUCAUCGAUGAAACAAUGAAUUGACAAACAGAAACUAGUAGUAGUAGCAGAAGAAAAGAAAUCUAAGAAAAUAAAUAAUUUAUUUUAUAUCAAUGCAUUACAUUUCUAACUGUUCACUACACAUUCAUUCAUUAUCAGGAAGAGCUUUUUUCUCUCCUAAAGAAAUUAACCAAGGUUAUUGAAUCAAAUAGCAUUGAGAUCAUACAAAUAAAGUCAACAAAGGUAAAAUCCAUGGACUUAAAUUGUGGUCACAGUCACAUUUGCGGCAUGGUUUAUUUACUGAUUUUUUAAGGGGUCGUUACCCUUUAUCCCAUUAUUUAAAGACAAAUGCUGAGUUGCAUUGGUAAUGACCGUUACCCUUCUUACACAAUAGUAACGGCUGUUAUUUAUCGUUAAGUAACGGUAACGACCAUUACCUCAAUAACUCAGUUGGCAAAUAAUAUAGGCAUGCAGUGUUUUCUUUAAUUUUUUUUUCAUUCUCAGUGUAUUCCAGCCUUCCAACUACUUUUUUAUCACAAUUUCUCUCAAAAUUUCACCUAAAC